Molecule: ribosomal RNA, 465 nt
Filed under: uncultured bacterium
Lineage: Bacteria
Description: partial 16S ribosomal RNA
Rfam family: Bacterial small subunit ribosomal RNA
Source: RNAcentral
GACGAACGCUGGCGGCGUGCUUAACACAUGCCAGUCGAACGGAAAGGCCCUGCUUGCCGGGUACUCGAGUGGCGAACGGGUGAGUAACACGUGGGUGAUCUGCCCUGCACUUCGGGAUAAGCCUGGGAAACUGGGUCUAAUACCGGAUAGGAGCCAUUUUUAGUGUGAUGGUUGGAAAGUUUUUUCGGUGUAGGAUGAGCUCGCGGCCUAUCAGCUUGUUGGUGGGGUAAUGGCCUACCAAGGCGGCGACGGGUAGCCGGCCUGAGAGGGUGGACGGCCACAUUGGGACUGAGAUACGGCACAGACGCCUACGGGAGGCAGCAGUGGGGAAUAUUGCACAAUGGGCGCAAGCCGGAUGCAGCGACGCCGCGUGGGGGAUGACGGCCUUCGGGUUGUAAAAUCCAUUCGCUAGGGACGAAGCUUUUUGUGACGGUACCUAGAUAAGAAGCACCGGCUAACUACGUG